Molecule: ribosomal RNA, 433 nt
Filed under: uncultured bacterium
Lineage: Bacteria
Description: partial 16S ribosomal RNA
Rfam family: Bacterial small subunit ribosomal RNA
Source: RNAcentral
AACGAACGCUGGCGGCAUGCCUAACACAUGCAAGUCGAACGAGACCUUCGGGACUAGUGGCGCACGGGUGCGUAACGCGUGGGAACCUGCCCUUAGGUUCGGAAUAACUCCCCGACAGGGGUGCUAAUACCGGAUAAUGUCUUCGGACCAAAGAUUUAUUGCCUUUGUAUGGGCCCGCGUUGGAUUAGGUAGUUGGUAGGGUAAAAGCCUACCACGGCGACGAUCCAUAGCUGGGUUGAGAGGAUGAUCAGCCACACUGGGACUGGGACACGGCCCAGACUCCUACGGGAUGGAGCAGUGGGGAAUAUUGGACAAUGGGCGAAAGCCUGAUCCAGCAAGGCCGCGUGAGUGAUGAAGGCCGUAGGGUUCUAAAGCGCUUUUAACCGGGAUGAUAAUGACAGUACCGGGAGAAUAAGCCACGGCUAACUCCGUG